GUUUACUAAUUCUUUCUGAUCCUCAAUCAUGCUUGUUGGCUCAUUGUUUUGCUGAGUGUUAUGACAGAUUGUAAGAAAGGGAUGGAGAUGUCUAAUCUGAAGGAAUUUGUGUGUCACUGUGGAGAUAAUUCAUUUGUUAUUAGAUUUUACAUAGUGCUGCAACAUAUUCAGUGCAGACUGCACCUAUAAAUAGAGGAGGACUAAGGCCA
This 209-nucleotide long non-coding RNA is filed under the name Homo sapiens (human). RNAcentral's name for it is "HSALNT0255575". Lineage: Eukaryota; Metazoa; Chordata; Mammalia; Primates; Hominidae. The record is from RNAcentral.